This is a long non-coding RNA of Elaeis guineensis (African oil palm), 563 nucleotides long. RefSeq lists it as uncharacterized. The record is from RefSeq and is a predicted model, not a curated record. NCBI's taxonomy places the organism in Eukaryota, Viridiplantae, Streptophyta, Magnoliopsida, Arecales, Arecaceae.
UGCAGAAUGUGAGGUUCCAGUUCUGCCCCAACGCUCGUUCGUUGUAAAAGCCCGAGCUUGGUGGAAGGAUCCUCGCAUUUCAGGAGAACGGGGAAGUGGGGAUCACAAACGAGAAUGCUUCGAAAGACAUUCCUCCUACUCUAUCUGCUCCUCCUUUCCAAUUCGUUCAUUCCAUCGGCGAUGGCUGCCAGGGAGCUUCUUAGAGUUGGAAGAAUUCACCACGACAGGCCUAUGGCUGCCCCGAUAAUCCGACAUCGUCCUGUUUGCAGAAACCCUGCGUAUUGUCGUGGAAUCCCUGCCUUUCGUGCUCCACCUCCCCCUCGUGCACCUCCGGCCCCAUAGCUGCAGAGUAAAACCGCGUAGGUGUACUGCUACUAAUGGCAUAUUGCCAUGAAAUGGACGUAUGAACUAAAUAAGCGGCUGCAUCAUGAUGUCAUGUUUGGUUUGUUGUACGUGUACUGUAUGCACCUAACUAUAAUUGGGAAUUUUAAAGAUGCUAUGUUGUUCUGCUACUCUUGUAUUGAGUUACGGCCUCUCUCUAUUAUCCACUUCUUUUUUUACCA